RNAcentral lists this ribosomal RNA (247 nucleotides) under uncultured bacterium. Its description in RNAcentral is "partial 16S ribosomal RNA". It matches the Rfam family "Bacterial small subunit ribosomal RNA", at positions 523 to 769 of the family's 1533-position model. The record is from RNAcentral.
AUACGGAGGGUGCAAGCGUUAUCCGGAUUCACUGGGUUUAAAGGGUGUGUAGGCGGAUAUUUAAGUCAGUGGUGAAAUCUCCGGGCUCAACCCGGAAACUGCCAUUGAUACUAUUUAUCUUGAAUACUGUUGAGGUAGGCGGAAUAUAUCAUGUAGCGGUGAAAUGCUUAGAUAUGAUAUAGAACACCGAUUGCGAAGGCAGCUUACUAAGCAGUUAUUGACGCUGAGGCACGAAAGCGUGGGGAUC